Molecule: ribosomal RNA, 303 nt
Filed under: bacterium C6(2012)
Lineage: Bacteria
Description: bacterial SSU rRNA
Rfam family: Bacterial small subunit ribosomal RNA
Source: RNAcentral
UGAGUUUUGAUCAUGGCUCAGAUUGAACGCUGGCGGCAGGCCUAACACAUGCAAGUCGAGCGGAAACGAGUUAUCUGAACCUUCGGGGGACGAUAACGGCGUCGAGCGGCGGACGGGUGAGUAAUGCCUAGGAAAUUGCCCUGAUGUGGGGGAUAACCAUUGGAAACGAUGGCUAAUACCGCAUAAUGCCUACGGGCCAAAGAGGGGGACCUUCGGGCCUCUCGCGUCAGGAUAUGCCUAGGUGGGAUUAGCUAGUUGGUGAGGUAAUGGCUCACCAAAGGCGACGAUCCCUAGCUGGUCUGA